This 214-nucleotide long non-coding RNA is filed under the name Chloebia gouldiae (Gouldian finch). RNAcentral describes it as "Erythrura gouldiae (Gouldian finch) lncRNA (ENSEGOG00005010566.1)". Lineage: Eukaryota; Metazoa; Chordata; Aves; Passeriformes; Passeridae. The record is from RNAcentral.
CAGGAAGAGAGUUGAAGGAACUCCUGAAAGUGAGAAAGAAGGUUACCCUGGGACUCAGUUCAAUGUCAAACCCUGGUGAAUCUUGGAGUGGAAAUGUGGGAAUUGUGACUACUCCAGGAAGAGUGUACAGGAUAAAAAUCACUGGACUGGAAGAAAACUGAAUGUGGACUUGGUUACUGACUGCACUGGUCUGAUGAAGUCAGAUGAAUGUUUU